Molecule: unclassified non-coding RNA, 385 nt
Filed under: Hevea brasiliensis (rubber tree)
Lineage: Eukaryota; Viridiplantae; Streptophyta; Magnoliopsida; Malpighiales; Euphorbiaceae
Source: RNAcentral
GUUCAUCUUGUUGCAGGAUUGGUGGUAAAAGCAUAAAGCUCUUUUCUUCUUCUUUACAUAUUCAUUCCAUUUAUUAUGUAUAAAUUUAUCCUGAUUUAUAGUUGCUACAAUCUUGGCAAGUUGAAAUUAGAAAACAAAUAAUUUCUAAACAGCAAUACAGUAGCACCAGUUGUGUUAUAUAUUGCAUAGGCUUGGCAAUCCAACCAUUGGACCUUAACAUUGGAAAGUUUUGAACUUUGGAUCAUUGGAGUUGAUUUUGGAAUGUGAUUUUUGUGGGCUACAAUUUUGUCCAGAGUGUGGAAUGUGAUUGGUAGGGAUUUAUGUAAUUCAAAAAUCUAAAACUCUUAAAUGAAUCGUUACCAGUUUAUUUUUAUUUUUAUUUUUA